This 479-nucleotide ribosomal RNA is filed under the name Plesionika yui. RNAcentral describes it as "partial 16S ribosomal RNA". It matches the Rfam family "Bacterial large subunit ribosomal RNA", at positions 1852 to 2588 of the family's 2925-position model. The record is from RNAcentral. Lineage: Eukaryota; Metazoa; Arthropoda; Malacostraca; Decapoda; Pandalidae.
GUCUGGCCUGCCCGCUGAGUUUGCUUGAAGGGCGGCGGUAUCUUGACCGUGCGAAGGUAGCAUAAUCAAUAGUCUCUUAAUUGGGGGCCGGAAUGAAGGGUCGGACGAAGGGUUGACUGUCUCUUUCGCGGGGCUCUAAGUUUACUUCCGGGUGAAAAGGCCCGGAUGCUUUUGGGGGACGAUAAGACCCUAUAAAACUUUACAGUUUAGCUUGUUUUUUUCAAAGUGUUGUUUAAAGUUGAUUGCGGGCGAGCUGUUGUAUUGGGGUGAUAUAGAUAUAAUUAGUAACUGUCAGCGGAAAAAAAUAAUGAUGAUUAGGUUGGUUGAUCCUUCUUUGUAGAUUAUAAGAUUAAGUUACUUUAGGGAUAACAGCGUAAUUUUCUUUGAGAGUUCUUAUCAACAAGAAUAGUUGCGACCUCGAUGUUGAAUUAAGGUUUCCCUUGGGUGCAGAAGCUCGAGCGGUGGGUCUGUUCGACCUU